CAGUCGCCGCGGGAAUACGUAGGGUGCAAGCGUUAAUCGGAAUUACUGGGCGUAAAGCGUGCGCAGGCGGUUGUGUAAGACAGGUGUGAAAUCCCCGGGCUUAACCCGGGAACUGCGCUUGUGACUGCACAGCUAGAGUAUGGCAGAGGGGGGUGGAAUUCCGCGUGUAGCAGUGAAAUGCGUAGAGAUGUGGAGGAACACCGAUGGCGAAGGCAGCCCCCUGGACCAAUACUGACGCUCAUGCGCGAAAGCGUGGGGAGCAAACAGGAUUAGAUACCCCCGUAGUCCCUGUCUCUUAUAC
Molecule: ribosomal RNA, 301 nt
Filed under: uncultured bacterium
Lineage: Bacteria
Description: partial 16S ribosomal RNA
Rfam family: Bacterial small subunit ribosomal RNA
Source: RNAcentral